RNAcentral lists this long non-coding RNA (804 nucleotides) under Panax ginseng (ginseng). RNAcentral describes it as "long non-coding RNA (PGIN_LNC005372)". The record is from RNAcentral. Lineage: Eukaryota; Viridiplantae; Streptophyta; Magnoliopsida; Apiales; Araliaceae.
AAAAAAAUUCGGACAUAUUUGCCCCCAAGUCCCAUUUAACGCCUUCGAUAUUUGGAAUUGAUGUUUCAGACCAAACCGAAAUAUUAGAUUUGAUUUCCCUAGAUUGAACGAGCGGAAGAAGAACACAACCAAUAUCAAUUGCUGCAAAGGGAUUGAUGUUUCAGGCCAUCUGUUAGCGUAUCUCGAAAAGUUCAAAACCCAAAUAUUAGAUCUGAUUUCCCUAGAUUGAACGAGCGGAAGAAGAACUUGAGUUCUCUGAGACUUAAAUUAUUUUCUAUUUUUUGUUUUUCAUAAUUAUUUUCUAUUCUCUUUCAUUCUCUGUUCGCAAAUUUUUAUUUCGCUAGUGUAACUAGCGGAUAGAUAUAUAAUAGCCAAUUUGGGAACGUAUUGCUGCUGCUUAAUUGGAUAUUUGGGAUUGCGGAAUAUUUGAAAUUGCCUUGGAUCUCUGCUUAAUUAGAUCUAUUAUUUGCUGUUGCUUAAUUGGAUUUGGGAUGGAUUGCGGAAUAUUUGGGAUUGCCUUGGAUCUCUACUUAAUUAGAUCUAAUAUUUGCGGCUGCUUAAUUGGAUAUUUGAGAUUGUUGUUGCUUAAUUGGAUCAACAGAUCUGAUAUUAGAGUGUCGCUCUGUGUCCGCUAGUUCAACGACGGAAUUUUAUUUUAAAUCUCAGUCCUUAAUUUAUGUAAUGUGUGAUGAAAUUAUUAUUUAUCAAUUUUUCAUCUAUAGUAAAUAUAUGCUGUAAAUCAUUUUUCUCUCUAUAUAUACACUAAAUUCGUCAAUAAAAAAUAUUUUUGGUUUUAUCUUAUCA